This 1822-nucleotide unclassified non-coding RNA is filed under the name Nilaparvata lugens (brown planthopper). Its description in RNAcentral is "transmembrane protein 43 homolog, transcript variant X2". Lineage: Eukaryota; Metazoa; Arthropoda; Insecta; Hemiptera; Delphacidae. The record is from RNAcentral.
AACAGUUAUCACAGUGAACGGAACUGCUCCAGCAAAUACGCUACCAGCGAAUGCGCAUACUUCUCUAUGCUAGAGGAUAAAUCCUACAGCGAGACGCGCGUGAGUGCAUUGGUUUCCAGAACGGUCGAUAUGAACAAGUAUCGAUGAAUAACAUCGAUAUAUCGCUGCUCGCUGUCGUCUGCUGUUUCGCUUGUUAUUUUUCACCACAGUAUCAUCAAUAAGGUCAUUUUUAUUAAAUUUGGCUGAUUAAAUUGUAAAAAUUAUAGGAUUUGGAUAAUGAAUGUUCGUUUCAUCACAAGUAUCUCAUCAGAGUUGCUCUCGUUUUGGAAUCAGGAUAUGGAAGCUGUUAAAAAGCCAGCGUUUGUUUGAAUUUAUUAGCAUCGAUUGGAAAAUGCGCAGAAAUGCUGGAAACAUUAUUUUUGGCACUCUCCUCUUGGGUAUAGGAAUUUUUCUACUUUAUUCAAACGAGAUGAAAGCUGUGGAAAUGACCAACUCUUUACACGAUGCAUUGAAUAGUGUAAUUCAAGUGCAUCUGCUUGAUCCGAUCUAUGAAAUAAAUGAGGGCAUGUUAAUUUAUAUAUGCGGCCCUAUUCAAUUGGAUGAACCUCUCACUGAACCUGAGUAUGGUAUCUCCGUUCCCGCCGUCAAGCUUAAGCGCCGAGUCCAAAUGUACCAGUGGGUCGAGGAAAUUACUAAAAAAGCUGUUGAUGAUACUCUACCAACAGCUGAUUCCUCAUUCUCAGCUACAUACACUACUGAAUGGAAAGACAAACUAAUUGAUAGCAACAGAUUCUUCAAUACUGCGGACCAUCAUAAUCCAACGGAAUUUCCGUUGAAAAGUGCGAUGUAUGUGAGUGACGUAGUACGUUUGGGAAGGUACACAUUGAGUACAGAGCUCAAAGAUAAGUUUUCUGAUUUUAUAUCUGUGACCAGUGAUGAGAGGCCCGAGCGCCGUGAUAUAAAGUUGCACGUUGGCCUGUACUACCAUAGUAUCGAUGUUUGGAAUCCAGAGGUUGGAGAUAUAAGAGUGCAAUUCUCCUAUGCGGGGCCACAAGGGGCUGUUGUUACAGUCGUUGGGAGACAAGUGAAUUCUGAACUGCAAGGAAGUUUGCUAGCUCCAGGUAGAGUUCCCGUGUAUAUGAUGCUGUCUCAGCAGCAUGCAAAUCAUACCUGGUUCACAAGGCUGUUCCGCAUAUUAGCAUGGAUGUUGGUGUAUCUGGGUGCAACUUUCCUUCAUCAUCUAAAACAAAAAUCAGGCAAUAGAAUAUGAAAAUACAAGGUAAGCUUAUAAUAAGCUGUGUGAUGGUGGCUUAAUAUGUACAGUAAAACUGCUGCCAUCAAGCGCCGCACAUGUGAAUCGGCACAUUGUGCAGCUGAGUAAUCGGCGCAGCACUUUGUUCAGAUCGGCUCAAAUCUCCUGUUCGAAAAAUGUGAAAAAUUCUAUUCAUCCAUUGCAUGACCUUGAUACCUUGAACAGUAAGGGUUUCAAAACAAUAAUAAAAAAUGAAUUGGUUAGAACACAAGCAGUACAGUGCGUCUUAUUGCUUUUAGUUCCCCCCUCUCUCUCUCUCUCUCUCUCUCUACCUAGCUCUGUCUAUCUCCCUGGAGGAGGAGAAGGGUGCUUUCUCCCUGCAGAGCUGAAUGAGACCCCUGUCAUCAUUAAAACCGCAACGUUACAACCGCAUCAAUAAAAUGUUACAACAGAAUCGGACUGGAUGAGAAUUGGUUGAGUGUGUCAAUGUCAUUCUGCGUUGGACUGGUGGUGACUGGCGCUGUCUGGUAUUCUCACCGUCCCUGGCUGGGCUGGAUUCUCUUCUCAGGA